This 352-nucleotide ribosomal RNA is filed under the name Benoinyssus aff. serratus AD1053. Its description in RNAcentral is "bacterial SSU rRNA". It matches the Rfam family "Eukaryotic small subunit ribosomal RNA", at positions 594 to 945 of the family's 1831-position model. The record is from RNAcentral. Lineage: Eukaryota; Metazoa; Arthropoda; Arachnida; Trombidiformes; Eupodidae.
AUAGCGUAUAUUAAAGUUGUUGCGGUUAAAAAGCUCGUAGUUGGAUCUCAGGCCUAGUGUCGAUGGUUCCACGGUUGUGGACUACUGUCGACCUGGUCAUAUUUGGUUCAGCCGUGUUGGGCGGCCUUUAACCGGGUCCACCAACCGCUGAACAUGUUUACUUUGAAUAAAUUAGAGUGCUCAAAGCAGGCGCUUGUUGCCUGAAUAAUCUUGCAUGGAAUAAUGGAAUAGGACCUCGGUUCUGUUCUGUUGGUCUUCGGAAGCCGAGGUAAUGAUUAAGAGGGACAGACGGGGGCAUUCGUAUUGCGACGCUAGAGGUGAAAUUCUUGGACCGUCGCACGACGAACUACUG